This 19-nucleotide non-coding RNA is filed under the name Rattus norvegicus (Norway rat). The record is from RNAcentral. Lineage: Eukaryota; Metazoa; Chordata; Mammalia; Rodentia; Muridae.
ACGGCCCUGGCGGAGCGCU